UGGGGUUGUGGCUCAGCGGUAGAGCACUGGCCUCACAUGUGCGGGGCCCUGGGUUCGAUCCUCAGCACCACAA
This 73-nucleotide transfer RNA is filed under the name Marmota monax (woodchuck). RNAcentral's name for it is "tRNA.Val". The record is from RNAcentral. Lineage: Eukaryota; Metazoa; Chordata; Mammalia; Rodentia; Sciuridae.